This 497-nucleotide ribosomal RNA is filed under the name uncultured bacterium. RNAcentral describes it as "partial 16S ribosomal RNA". It matches the Rfam family "Bacterial small subunit ribosomal RNA", at positions 28 to 507 of the family's 1533-position model. The record is from RNAcentral.
GAUGAACGCUGGCGGCGUGCCUAAUACAUGCAAGUCGAGCGAACGGACGAGAAGCUUGCUCUUCUGAUGUUAGCGGCGGACGGGUGAGUAACACGUGGAUAACCUACCUAUAAGACUGGGAUAACUUCGGGAAACCGGAGCUAAUACCGGAUAAUAUUUUGAACCGCAUGGUUCAAAAGUGAAAGACGGUCUUGCUGUCACUUAUAGAUGGAUCCGCGCUGCAUUAGCUAGUUGGUAAGGUAACGGCUUACCAAGGCAACGAUGCAUAGCCGACCUGAGAGGGUGAUCGGCCAGACUGGAACUGAGAAACGGUCCAGACUCCGACGGGAGGCAGCAGUAGGGAAUCUUCCGCAAUGGGCGAAAGCCUGACGGAGCAACGCCGCGGGAGUGAUGAAGGUCUUCGGAUCGUAAAACUCUGUUAUUAGGGAAGAACAUAUGUGUAAGUAACUGUGCACAUCUUGACGGUACCUAAUCAGAAAGCCACGGCUAACUACGUG